Coffea eugenioides is the source of this 1043-nucleotide long non-coding RNA. RefSeq lists it as uncharacterized. The record is from RefSeq and is a predicted model, not a curated record. The transcript is spliced from 2 exons. Lineage: Eukaryota; Viridiplantae; Streptophyta; Magnoliopsida; Gentianales; Rubiaceae.
GACAACACUGCCUGCUAGUAGUUCUUAUUCUUAUAUAGUAGUACUAUUUUGCUUUUUAUGAAAUCUCUCCUUUUUAGCUUCUUGUACAUAUUCUUAUAUUUUGCUUUUUAUGAAAUCAUUUUCCUUACAAAUUAGCCAUCCAUCUCAUCUACGUGUUGCCCGAUUUAGGGCCCUGGACAUAUUGACUGACCCUUGCGCUAACGAAUUUCUCACCUUAUCAUUUUUAUCUUUCCCGCGGGCGCUGAAUUCUGAGUAGAAGGGAGGUCGUCAAUCUUUUUGAGGUGUCUGGCUGUGUUGGCGCAGCCACAGAGAGAGAGAGAGAGAGAUAGAGAGAGAGAAGGACAGGACAAAAAAAGAAUAGUUGUAGCACAAUUUCAGCUAGGAGGAAUCCGGAGCAAAAGAUGGGUUACGUGAUAGUGAUCUCUUUGCCUCUGAUUCUGCUAUUCUUGAUUGCUGCCAUCGCCUGCUAUCUACUUGGUAGGGCAAGCGGCCGAGGAGAGGCUGCUGGUAGGCCUCCCCGGUAUUAUGGGCCUCCAGCGCCUCCAAUUGCAGCUCAAAUCCCUCCUCCGGAGAAGUAAUAGUUUCAUUUCCUGGAUAUAGUGGUACUAAUCUUGUAUGUUCUCAUGUGUAUCAUUCUUCUGUAAUUAUUUUGUUCUUUUUUUGGGUUGGUGGUAAAUAUGUGUGCAUCUGCUUCAACAUCCAAUAUGUUGAUAGAGUUAAAAUUUACUAAUUAGUCAAUAAGCACGCCAUGGAUGGUUUCUAUAAAUUAAUGCCUGAAAAGUGCAUCUCAUGGACGACUGAAAAGGAAGUUCAAAAUGCAAUCCUCCUGGCAACAUAGGAGUUCUCAAGAAAACAGCAGAUGGCCAGAAUGAUUAUUGCAGGGGUUAGCCACUACCAAACUUCCAUGUUAUGAGUGGUCUAAGAAGCAACAAACUUGGAAAGCAUCUAAUCUAAUCGAAGUGAUUUUAGUCCGUCUAUGUUUUGCCACCUUCUAUAGUUGUUAUUUUGGCUGUGAAAAGAUUAAACCAUCUUCCAUUUCCCGA